UGGGGAAUUUUGGACAGUGGACGCAAGUCUGAUCCAGCCAUGCCGCGUGCGGGAAGAAGGCCUUCGGGUUGUAAACCGCUUUUGUCAGGGAAGAAACGAGUUUCUCUAAUACAGAGACUUAAUGACGGUACCUGAAGAAUAAGCACCGGCUAACUACGUGCCAGCAGCCGCGGUAAUACGUAGGGUGCAAGCGUUAAUCGGAAUUACUGGGCGUAAAGCGUGCGCAGGCGGUUAUAUAAGACAGAUGUGAAAUCCCCGGGCUCAACCUGGGAACUGCAUUUGCGACUGUAUAGCUAGAGUACGGCAGAGGGGGAUGGAAUUCCGCGUGUAGCAGUGAAAUGCGUAGAUAUGCGGAGGAACACCGAUGGCGAAGGCAAUCCCCUGGGCCUGUACUGACGCUCAUGCACGAAAGCGUGGGGAGCAAACA
RNAcentral lists this ribosomal RNA (427 nucleotides) under uncultured bacterium. RNAcentral's name for it is "bacterial SSU rRNA". It matches the Rfam family "Bacterial small subunit ribosomal RNA", at positions 355 to 774 of the family's 1533-position model. The record is from RNAcentral.